GGUCUUGUAGUGUAAUUUUAACACGUUAAGUUGUAAACUUGAAGAUAUAAAGUUAAGGCUU
RNAcentral lists this transfer RNA (61 nucleotides) under Bahadzia jaraguensis. Its description in RNAcentral is "transfer RNA Tyrosine". Lineage: Eukaryota; Metazoa; Arthropoda; Malacostraca; Amphipoda; Hadziidae. The record is from RNAcentral.